Anser brachyrhynchus (Pink-footed goose) is the source of this 159-nucleotide unclassified non-coding RNA. The record is from Ensembl. NCBI's taxonomy places the organism in Eukaryota, Metazoa, Chordata, Aves, Anseriformes, Anatidae.
UUGACAGCCCUGAAGACCAAAGUCCUUUAUUUAUGCAUGAGCAGCAACAGUUCUGGCUUUCCCACACUGCCCUCCUGAUAUGUUUCACCCAUGACCUGAAGGAUCCCCCUUAGGGGUGACAGCUUUGUAGCCUUCAGACCCAUUCACUCCUCCAGUCCU